UCGCGGCCUAUCAGCUUGUUGGUGGGGUAAUGGCCUACCAAGGCUUUGACGGGUAGCCGGCCUGAGAGGGCGACCGGCCACACUGGGACUGAGAUACGGCCCAGACUCCUACGGGAGGCAGCAGUGGGGAAUAUUGCACAAUGGACGGAAGUCUGAUGCAGCAACGCCGCGUGCGGGAUGACGGCCUUCGGGUUGUAAACCGCUUUCACCAGGGGCGAAUUUGACGGUACCUGGAGAAGAAGCACCGGCUAACUACGUGCCAGCAGCCGCGGUGAUACGUAGGGUGCGAGCGUUGUCCGGAUUUAUUGGGCGUAAAGAGCUCGUAGGUGGUUUGUUGCGUCGGGAGUGAAAACACGCAGCUCAACUGUGUGCUUGCUUUCGAUACGGGCAGACUUGAGGGAUGCAGGGGAGAACGGAAUUCCUGGUGGAGCGGUGGAAUGCGCAGAUAUCAGGAGGAACACCGGUGGCGAAGGCGGUUCUCUGGACAUUUCCUGACGCUGAGGAGCGAAAGCGUGGGGAGCAAACAGGCUUAGAUACCCUGGUAGUCCACGCCGUAAACGGUGGGCACUAGGUGUGGGGGACUUCCACGUUCUCCGUGCCGUAGCUAACGCAUUAAGUGCCCCGCCUGGGGAGUACGG
RNAcentral lists this ribosomal RNA (638 nucleotides) under uncultured Actinomycetes bacterium. Its description in RNAcentral is "bacterial SSU rRNA". It matches the Rfam family "Bacterial small subunit ribosomal RNA", at positions 231 to 885 of the family's 1533-position model. Lineage: Bacteria; Bacillati; Actinomycetota; Actinomycetes. The record is from RNAcentral.